GAACACAAAAUGGCGACACGUGGUUAGCAUUCGUCGCCAACGAGAAAUUGGGGUCGGCCCGAAAGCUCUAGAAUGCACCCCUCUUCCUCCCCGGGGCCUUCCACCUCCGCGAGUUUUAUGACUUAAAAAAGCCCACAGGCUGGUCUGAAGAGGAAGACAAACAUAAAGAUGAAGUGCUUAAUUCAAGGUCACACAAUGUCGGGGAUGGACCUCCAGAUUUCCUUACUGGUGAGACGUGGUCUUGUAACACAGUGGUUAAGAAUGUGACUUUGGAGCCAGCCUGCUAGGGGCUGAAUUCUGACUCAGCCAUUUACUAACUGUGUGACCUUAGGGAGGAGGACCUGGUUGAUAGAAGAAUUUAUCUCGUAGUCUUAACAUCCACUGUAAUUCCAAACUUUGAGGACGAUAGAGAUCAGUGGGCUUUGACUGCCCAGCAUGCAGUCUCCAUUCUUAGGUGGGUUCCCAAGCCUGUAAAAUGUAAGCCUUAUGCUGCUGAGGGCCAUCUUGCCACCCUGAGGGAAACGCUGCCUGAGAAUGAAACAAGC
This 545-nucleotide long non-coding RNA is filed under the name Homo sapiens (human). Its description in RNAcentral is "non-protein coding PCBP1-AS1:284". The record is from RNAcentral. Lineage: Eukaryota; Metazoa; Chordata; Mammalia; Primates; Hominidae.